RNAcentral lists this ribosomal RNA (468 nucleotides) under uncultured bacterium. RNAcentral describes it as "partial 16S ribosomal RNA". It matches the Rfam family "Bacterial small subunit ribosomal RNA", at positions 28 to 507 of the family's 1533-position model. The record is from RNAcentral.
GACGAACGCUGGCGGCGUGCUUAACACAUGCAAGUCGAACGGAAAGGCCCUGCUUUUGUGGGGUGCUCGAGUGGCGAACGGGUGAGUAACACGUGAGUAACCUGCCCUUGACUUUGGGAUAACUUCAGGAAACUGGGGCUAAUACCGGAUAUGAGCUCCUGCUGCAUGGUGGGGGUUGGAAAGUUUCGGCGGGUGGGGAUGGACUCGCGGCUUAUCAGCUUGUUGGUGGGGUAGUGGCUUACCAAGGGUGUGACGGGUAGCCGGCCUGUGGGGGUGACCGGCGACAUUGGGACUGAGAUACGGCCCAGACUCCUACGGGAGGCAGCAGUGGGGAAUAUUGCACAAUGGGCGGAAGCCUGAGGCAGCAACGCCGCGGGCGGGAUGACGGCCUUCGGGUUGUAAACCGCUUUCGCCUGUGACGAAGCGUGAGUGACGGUAAUGGGUAAAGAAGCACCGGCUAACUACGUG